GAUAGAUAGAUAGAUAGAUAGAUAGAUAGAUCUCUUUCUUUGUAGAAACGUGACUCUAUCUAUUUUGGAAAGCCUAAUUUCCCAGCAGCUUUGAACGCAUCACGAACUUUGAAACUUGAAGCGGUUAAAUCUGUUUUAGCUCAGCUAGCCUGACUUAAACUUAAAGCGGUUAAAUCUGCUAAUUUCAUCUAAUCCAUUAACUCUGAACUCUUAACUUCUAUGUAACAUGGACGUGUCCUUCAAUAAGCAAAUGUACUCCACACCCUGAUUUACAGAAACGCGCUGGAACGGAUCAUAAACAAGUAUUCAAAGCUCUGUGACGGAGGGAUAGAGGUGGACUUCACGUAUAGAGAUGAUAUGAUGCCUGAACACGACCGGAUGUGUCGAGAACAAACCUGAACAACUGGAAUCAGAGGUUUGGCU
Larimichthys crocea (large yellow croaker) is the source of this 423-nucleotide long non-coding RNA. RefSeq lists it as uncharacterized. Lineage: Eukaryota; Metazoa; Chordata; Actinopteri; Sciaenidae. The transcript has 3 exons. The record is from RefSeq and is a predicted model, not a curated record.